UGCAAAAACCACAAUUACUUUUGCAUUCACCUAAAAUUGGAACGACACAGAGAAGACUAGCAUGGCCCCU
Molecule: small nuclear RNA, 70 nt
Organism: Chlorocebus sabaeus (green monkey)
Lineage: Eukaryota; Metazoa; Chordata; Mammalia; Primates; Cercopithecidae
Source: Ensembl